CGGUGGAGCAUGUGGUUUAAUUCGACGCAACGCGAAGAACCUUACCAGGGCUUGACAUCCCUGACCGCGUAUGAAAGUACGUUUCACCUCGGGUGACAGGGAGACAGGUGGUGCAUGGUUGUCGUCAGCUCGUGUCGUGAGAUGUUGGGUUAAGUCCCGCAACGAGCGCAACCCUCAUUGUUAGUUACUACCAUUCAGUUGAGGACUCUAAUGAGACUGCCAACGAUAAGUUGGAGGAAGGUGGGGAUGACGUCAAAUCAUCAUGCCCUUUAUGACCUGGGCUACAAACGUACUACAAUGGCCAAUACAAAGAGAUGCGAAGCGGUGACGUGGAGCGAACCUCAGAAAGUUGGUCUCAGUUCAGAUUGAAGUCUGCAACUCGACUUCAUGAAGGCGGAAUCGCUAGUAAUCGCGGGUCAGCAGACCGCGGUGAAUACGUUCCCGGGUUUU
This 450-nucleotide ribosomal RNA is filed under the name uncultured Mollicutes bacterium. RNAcentral describes it as "bacterial SSU rRNA". It matches the Rfam family "Bacterial small subunit ribosomal RNA", at positions 930 to 1382 of the family's 1533-position model. Lineage: Bacteria; Bacillati; Mycoplasmatota; Mollicutes. The record is from RNAcentral.